This is an unclassified non-coding RNA of Papio anubis (olive baboon), 148 nucleotides long. It matches the Rfam family "Metazoan signal recognition particle RNA". From Rfam's summary of the family: The signal recognition particle (SRP) is a universally conserved ribonucleoprotein. It is involved in the co-translational targeting of proteins to membranes. The record is from Ensembl. Lineage: Eukaryota; Metazoa; Chordata; Mammalia; Primates; Cercopithecidae.
GCCAGGUAUGGUGGUGUGGGCCUGUGGUCCCAGCUACUUGGGAGGCUGAGGUGGGAGGAUUGUUUGAGCCCAGGAGGUUGAGGCUGCAGUGAGCCAUGAUCGUGCCACUGCACUCCAGCCUGGGCAACAGAGCAAGACCCUGUCUCAA